AUUGAACGCUGGCGGCAUGCCUUACACAUGCAAGUCGAACGGUAACGGGCCUUCGGGCGCCGACGAGUGGCGAACGGGUGAGUACUGCAUCGGAAUGUACCCAGUAGUGGGGGAUAACUAGUCGAAAGACUAGCUAAUACCGCAUACGCACUGAGGUGGAAAGCGGGGGAUCGCAAGACCUCGCGCUAUUGGAGCAGCCGAUGCCCGAUUAGGUAGUUGGUGGGGUAAAAGCCUACCAAGCCGACGAUCGGUAACUGGUCUGAGAGGACGACCAGUCACACUGGGACUGAGACACGGCCCAGACUCCUACGGGAGGCAGCAGUGGGGAAUUUUGGACAAUGGGGGAAACCCUGAUCCAGCAAUGCCGCGUGUGUGAAGAAGGCCUUCGGGUUGUAAAGCACUUUUGGCGGGAACGAAACGGCGCUGGUUAAUACCUGGCGCUAAUGACGGUACCCGCAGAAUAAGCACCGGCUAACUACGUGCCAGCAGCCGCGGUAAGCUCGUCUCUA
This 509-nucleotide ribosomal RNA is filed under the name uncultured bacterium. Its description in RNAcentral is "bacterial SSU rRNA". It matches the Rfam family "Bacterial small subunit ribosomal RNA", at positions 30 to 529 of the family's 1533-position model. The record is from RNAcentral.